This 253-nucleotide ribosomal RNA is filed under the name uncultured bacterium. RNAcentral's name for it is "partial 16S ribosomal RNA". It matches the Rfam family "Bacterial small subunit ribosomal RNA", at positions 524 to 776 of the family's 1533-position model. The record is from RNAcentral.
UACGAAGGGGGCUAGCGUUGCUCGGAAUUACUGGGCGUAAAGCGAGUGUAGGUGGUUGUCCAAGUUGGAUGUGAAAGCCUUGAGCUUAACUCAAGAAAUGCAUUCAGGACUGGGCGACUAGAGGACCGGAGAGGAUAGUGGAAUUCCCAGUGUAGUGGUGAAAUACGUAGAGAUUGGGAAGAACACCAGUGGCGAAGGCGGCUAUCUGGACGGUUUCUGACACUAAGACUCGAAAGCGUGGGGAGCAAACAGG